Tirmania nivea is the source of this 93-nucleotide non-coding RNA. The record is from the annotation of a GenBank genome assembly. Lineage: Eukaryota; Fungi; Ascomycota; Pezizomycetes; Pezizales; Pezizaceae.
CCCUUUGUGGUGUAGUUGGUAUCACACCCGGCUGUAAUGGAAAUCUCCUUGCGGAGCACCGGUUGGUCACCAGUUCGACUCUGGUCGGAGGGA